Non-coding RNA from Cyanistes caeruleus (blue tit), 3617 nucleotides. NCBI's taxonomy places the organism in Eukaryota, Metazoa, Chordata, Aves, Passeriformes, Paridae. The record is from RefSeq and is a predicted model, not a curated record.
AGCAGGCUGGAAAUGAGCAAAAACAGGGAAUUAAAGAGCACAUCUUUGAUGCUCCAGGUUAUCUAGAAGCAUUAAAGUCAUUAAACAGUUGAGCCAGUUGUGCAAGGUGACUCAACAUCCUUUGUGCCCAGAGGGAUCUGUGGGAGUCCCUCAGCAGCUCGGUGCUAGAGCUGGGAUCUGGCCCAGGUUUCCUGGCUGACAGGUGGCAGCAUCCCUCCCAGACCAGCCUUCACUGGUUUUGUCAGGCAAUUACUCCUCCCUACGUGUUUGGCACCACAGUAAGACAGGCACUGCCAAUGCUGUUUGGGAGAGGUGCUGUGGCUGUCUGAGGCUGGAGGAUCAGGAUUGAUCCCUGUGGGAAGGGAAUUUGCUCACACCUUGGACACCCAGGUGCUGCUGCGCGUCCCUGGGGAUCUCCAGAGCCACACUGGAAAUGCCUUUAUCCAUCUCCUGCUUGCCCAGGAAUUGUGAGAUUUUCACCAGACAGUUCAGGACGGGAGGGUUGUCUCCAUUUCUAUUGUUGGAGCCAGAGAAGUGAAACACAUUUCCAUUGGUGACUUAUUAACUGCUGUGCUGAUCAAAGGGACAAAACCAGCUUGGAUUGAUUCGCCGGGGCAGCGUUUUAACCAGGAGGGUUUAAGGCUACACAGAAGAUGUGGUCUGUGGGGAAAGCUGAUCUCGUAUUAAAUCAGCAGACAGGACUGAAUGCGGGGCUCAGCUCAGGUGUUAUGUGCCUGAAAGCCUGUCUGGGCUCCUUAUUUUUUCCAGCUGUGCUGGGGGAACCUAAUAAAGGUAUUGCUGUCCCUGCAGCCUUUCACCAAACUGCUCCCCCGCUGCUCUGCUGGGGCUGAUUUAUGGCAGCGGGGCCAAACGCGUGGCCUGAGAGCGGCGUGCCCUGCACAUGGUGAGACUGAGGGGCUCAGCUCCUGUCUGGGGCCUCCCUCUUUGCCCCGAGGGAUUUCCGGGAGAAAAACCACAGAGGAUGGGGAGAAGAUAAAUGAAAGAUCAAGCAGGCAAUAGCAGCUGUCUUGAAUCAGUCCCUGGCACAGCACCAGAGAGAUCAAGGGGUCAGUGUGAGAGUAGCCACUGGGCUGGUGGAAAAUGGUUCCUCCCUUUCCAGCAGCAUCCCCAGGUAGCACCAGCCCAGGGCUAGGGAGAUCAGGGCAGGUGAGAGGCCAAGUCAUUCAGUGGUCAAACCUCUCUCUGUCCUGCAGAGGAUCUGCAGUUUGGGCUUGGGGUUGGCACAUUCCAUCCACCCCUGGAUGUGCUCCUACAGCUUGUAGGGUCUGUGACCCCACAGUGCUGGCUCACACCCUUGGCUCGCUGAUUUGAUCCCCUCCAGUAAUAUUACUGUAAUUGCUGGACAAUGUUUUUAUGCCCAGUGGAGUGAUGGUUACUCCAUCAAAGGACCCUGCUGUUUUCCUGCCUGCACAGGGGAGGGGACAUUCCCUGGGGAAUGGAGAUGCUGGGUGCCACGGUGAUGGUUGCCAUGGCAAGGCCUGCCACCAGCCCCGCGGUCCCUGGGGACCAGAGCUGUCAGCAUGUGGCUGCAGGCAGUCCUGGGGACGUGGGCAGCCGGGUGAGAGCUGGAUGUGUGGGGGGAGCUGGACUUACCCAUGUAGCUCUUCUCACCUCCCAGACUGUCUGUGCCCGCUGGGAAGCAGCUCCUCACACAGGGACGUUUUGUACAGGACAGUCCAGGACAGGCAGCUCAAGCUGGGAGCAGCCUGGCUGGAAUGUGCUGAGCACCCAGCAUGAAGCACACACUGCCCACAGGCAGGUGAGCCUGGCAGGAGAUCAGCAGUGACCACAUUACCUCUGCCUGCAUCCUCAGGCCUUUGCCCUUUUCAAGGGAUGCUUGGACAACCCUUCCCAUUAGUUUUGCUCUGUUUCACCUGCAAGCAAACAGAUGCACUUCAUGGAUGAGAGCAGCCGGGUCUGAGCCCUUUUAGGUGCCAGGAGCUCCUUGUAUCCUCCAAAAAGUCAUACUCUGCUGCUUAAAAGCCAGUUUUUCCUCUAGCAGCAUCAGCAGCACGUUGCAGAGCCAGUGCAGGUGUGUCUUGGGGGAAAGAUAAGUGAAGGCUUGAAGACUUCAAAGACAUUUCUACAAACAUCACCUCCCACACCACCUCCCUCACAAUGCCUUGCGUCUCUCACCCAGACUUUUCUCAAUAAUCGCCAGUCAUGUGGAACGACACAAGAAGCAUGAGAGAGAAAUGAUAAACAGCUGUUUGAAAAGCAAGCAAUCACUCAUUAAAAGACACCCCUUGGAACAGUACGCCGGCCAGAGCUUUAUUUUCAACAGCCCGUACAACCAAAAACCAAGAGCAACAGCAAUGAUGUGUGUGACUGAUACAGUGCAGUACCCAAUCACGGCAUACAAAGUUUGCCAAUAAAUUAAGGAGUGAAAAAACAAACACAGUGCAUACCUAAAGAUCAUCAGUACAUAAGUGAAACACAGCCUAAGUAGAAGUAUUUGCAUAUCCUCUAGCUGUUUUAACAUUGCCCUUUCAAAGCUAACCAAACCAUUCUUGCUCUGUGCAGGCUAUCAUAAAAGCACUGGGCUAAAUCGUAGCUUCACCCCAGGGACAAUUCCCAAGAGGGGCAGGAAGGCAGGUCACACCCUGAGAAUCAACACUUGCCUUCCCGUGUACCCCUGGUGCAGCCAGGAGGUGUGGCAGCCACUCCUGGAUCACUGACACAGCUCCACGGCUCGGGCAGCACUGAGGACACUCUGCACUGGCUGUGUCUCCCCGUGGAAUGCUGCCCCUGUGCAGGAUUUGAGGGGGUACCUUAACUUGCACAUGGUGAGCAUCACUGAGUUACAGCCCAAGCUUAUUCCUGCUACUGCUUUAUCAUUGGUUUCAUCUGGACCUUAAACAUCCAUCUAUCAAUAAAUAAAAUCAUUGGUUUAGCACACAUAAUAAAAUUACACCUCCCACUGGUAACUGUUUGAGAAGUUCUCCCUGUUACCCCCUACACAAGCCUCAAGAAAAUGACUUUCUUUUCCCUCAGGCUCAGUAAGGUUUCAAGUAACAAUUUUCAGUACUGCUUGGACAAGAUACAGGCUUGGUUUGGAACCCUGAUACUGGUGACAGGGCCAAAACAUUUCCACACUUCUACACCCAACUGUAUCAAGUCCACGACUGUGCCAUUUUCACCUGCGAGCAGCAGAAGAGGGAACUAACAGUGCUUGCUGUUAUUUCCUCUCCAGGUGACUGAAACAGUCCUUUUACAAAGCCUAUCAACCUAAACCAGCUAAAAUGAAAAGCAAAAAUGUCACUCAAGUCAGAACCGAAGCCUGUGUGUAUCAAGAUUCACAUCCAGAGUUCUUAUCCACAGCCACUUGCUCUAACAAACCUCCUAUGAGGGCAGCCUUGGCUUCCUUCUCCUACAGGCCAGGACAGAACAGUCUGAGAUAAGCCAUAUCUUCCUCCAACUGAGUACUUAUAAGGCACUAAAAUUAAGCCACAACCAAAAAACACAAACCCAAAAGAAACCCAAAUAAACUGACCCACACAGAAAUUAAAAUUUGGCUAUAUAAAAUAGCAGCAAUGUUUGUUUGUUUGUUUUUUUUCUUUCAGUGGUCUACAAAGCCAGAACAUUGAUACUUUGGG